UCCCUGGAAAAAUGCAGUGUGGAUUUUCCGAAUCUUGAGCAGUACGUUCAUUCUACAUCUUAAGUUUGUUAUUUGGAAGCAUAAUAGUCAGUGAAGCACAUGUCCUACAGACUCGGGGAAUUUCAGCUGCUAAGCAUGCCAAAUAUGUAUAAUUGCACUAGAUCCUGUGCUAAUAUCACCCACGAGAAGCGACGUCAUCAGGAGCGACAUCGAUGGUAGCGCGUACAUCCUUUGAGAAGAGAUAGAAGAAGCUAGCGAGGAGAGAGAGACAUACAUAUAUGUAUUGGGGUAAGGAUUAGCAAUGGAUUAGUACGCCGUUACUACAACGCCAUAUAUUUGGUUGACCGUGAGUCUAGGGUUCAGUUUUGAUUGAGCAGUGACUCGGGAAGGAGUGUUUCGUUUGAUCUACAUAUUUUAAAGAAGUACUUGACAAUCGGUAGCUACUGAAAGACCUAUAUCAUUGAAAAUUCUGUGAAUUCCGUAACUCGGAGAUUUUUCCAUAAGCACUGAUUCAUAGUUGACAGACAUCAAAGAUGCCUAGUCCUUCCCGAUACGGUUCAACUUUCAACUACUGUCCCUAAGUCGUGCUGAAACAUUCGUAUAAGACUUCCAAUCAGUCAUCACGGUGCCUAGUUCAUCGCAGUACUCAUUCAACUUCCAACCACGAAGGGCAGGAGUUACAUGGCAUCGCACAAUUCGUUUACAGGUACUCCGAGAUGCUGUUACCGCAGUUAUGACCCCCUGGACUUCCCCUGAUAAACAGGGG
Molecule: long non-coding RNA, 766 nt
Organism: Athalia rosae (coleseed sawfly)
Lineage: Eukaryota; Metazoa; Arthropoda; Insecta; Hymenoptera; Athaliidae
Exons: 4
Source: RefSeq, a predicted model, not a curated record